UAGACGCUUCGCGUCUACUUUAGUCCGUGGGGACCAGUAGAAAUUUUAAAAAUUUUUGUCAGUACUACAAAAAAAAAAUCUCCAAAAUUAUCCAAGGAGUGCCCUAAACACGCAGUGGGGAAGAGACCUGCCGUAUCCUUAUAAGGCUCUGAGUUCAAACCUUAGCCUCGGCAUGGUGCUCUACCCAACUUUUUCUUUUUUUAGUACUUGGAAAACAUUAACAUCUAUAAUAAAUCCAAAAAUCUCAUCCAUUAUUCUGUAAGAGACCAACAUACAAAAUUGACGAAACACAAAGUCACGGUCUCACAACAUGUAAUUAAACGGGCUACACGUGUUUCGCUCUAGUUAGAGCAUCAUCAGGCCUUUAGAAGCCAUCCACACACUUAUGCUGUAACUGAUGAUGCUCUAACUAGAGCGAAACACGUGUAGCCCGUUUAAUUACAUGUUGUGAGACCGUGACUUUGUGUUUUUCUUUGUUUUUCGUCAAUCUAUAGUAAAUACAGAGAGAAAAGGAAAGGUCUUAUUAUAUAUUAUAAUCAAAAAUAAAUUUCAUUGAAAUAUUACUAACUUAUUUCUGGGUAUCAUGCUUCAGAGAACCAUGAUGUGUUACAAUACGCUCCGCUCUUUAAUUUUAGUUUAGUAGAAAAUAUUCUCAAAACCUACAUAUAUCAAAAUUAUGUCAGGGUUCUAAAAUGAAUCGGUAAUAAAAUCGUAAACCAGAUCAACAUUGGAAAUAAUUUAAAAAAUUUGCUUUGGUCCGAUUGAAAAAAGUACUAUACUACCAAAUAGUUACAUCUAUUCUGUAGCAAUAAAAGUUAUAAAAUUCUGUCUAUUAUUAAUUUUAAUAUUAUAAAGUGUAUCGUUUAACUCUUAGCCAUUAUUUAUAAUUUAAUUGUUAAUUAUGCCUAAAAAAACGAAUUAACAACUUUGGUAUUGUUUGGAUGGUAAACAGCUUAAUUCCUUUAUGUAAAGCCACCUUAACAUGUUUUUGCAUAAUUCUGACUCACGUUGGUUGCUAUCGGGCUUAAGCCAUAAAAAUCGAAGAAAAAAAGAAGAAGACGAAGAGACUUUCACUUGUCAUUUCAAUGUCACUUUCCGGCCCACAAGCAUAAACGCCACCGGCAACGGAAGUUCCCAAAAUCCAAACAAAUGUUGGAAGAUAUUUUUAAGUCUCCGCAUCUUUCUUACUUUCCUAUAUGAAAAUAAAAUUGGACUACACCAACAAAGGUUAUGUGUUUUGCACCAGAUUGAAAGCAUCACAGCGAAAAACGGACCUGUCAUAUCUUUAAAUUUUCAAAAGAGCCCCUGGAAAAAGAAAAAUGAAUAUCUUUGCCAAGGAAUAGGUACUAAGGCAAAUGGAUAAAAAACCUUCAGUCCAUGCAUUGGUAUGUAAUUGUUGACAAAAAUACAAUGAAUGGCCUCACUACUUUUCCACAUGCAAAGAGGUUAACCAAGGAGAAAUUAAAGAAAUUGUCAAAAACCUAGGUAAAUACAGAAUUGCUUAGUACAAACAUAUCUAUACCCAGUACAAGUUCGUCCACUUCUUUGAAGCAUGGUACUUCAAACAGAAACACUGUCAACAAUUUUGUAGAAGGUGAGCCGGUGUCAAAUUCCAGUAAGGGACAUGAUUUCAAUUUUGCACCAACAGCAGAGCUAAAAUUCAUUUUGCCGCAAAAAACUGGAGGAUGUGAAAGAAAAAAGUGCAGAAGUUAAAAUUAAGUUUUUCAUAUGAGCACAUAAAAAAUAAUCAUGACAAAGUUCAGUUGUAUACAGGUUUGACAUGUAAUAAAUAUUUUUGUAAUCUUAUUAAGUUAAUUAGUUUUAUAUAUUAUUUAAAUAAUAAUUGUAUACUUCACAUAGAAUAUGCAGAAAUUAUAUGUACAUAUAUAAAUUUUUUUAUUAAGAUAAGGACAACAUGUAUUAAAGCAUAACACAUAAUAUAAACACACACGUAAUAUCUUCAUUAAAAAUUAUGA
RNAcentral lists this long non-coding RNA (1976 nucleotides) under Anthonomus grandis grandis. RNAcentral describes it as "uncharacterized LOC126748275". The record is from RNAcentral. Lineage: Eukaryota; Metazoa; Arthropoda; Insecta; Coleoptera; Curculionidae.